Pipra filicauda (Wire-tailed manakin) is the source of this 1560-nucleotide long non-coding RNA. RefSeq lists it as uncharacterized. The transcript has 4 exons. The record is from RefSeq and is a predicted model, not a curated record. NCBI's taxonomy places the organism in Eukaryota, Metazoa, Chordata, Aves, Passeriformes, Pipridae.
UUUAAAAUCACAGGCUUUUGUAAAAGUUUAAACCCUUUCACAGCCUCCCCGAAGCACAGACCCACCUCCCCGUGAAAAGGCAGUGGUUCAGCACAAAGAAACAGCUCUCCCACGGCGCCCAUAAAGAUGACAUUUGCCUGGUUUCUAGCUGCCACCUAUCAAACCCCUCACAGUCCCCAUUCAAAGGAACCCCCUAACGAUGCCCAGAACAGUUCUGAACACUGAAAGCUCUCGAUUCUUUCCCAGCAAAGCUUCAAGCGUGGCAGAAGCCUUUGAGGAGAGGAGGGGGCUGUUUUCUGCUCCUGAGGGGCUCCCAAACACGGGCAGCUGAUGAGGGUGUGUGGUGCUACCUCACACCAGCAAGAGGAGGGAGAGAACAAAGCCAACAGCUCAGGUGAAGAUGAGUCCCUGUCACUUGAGUCCUGCCCCAGGACCCGAGAAAGAAAAGGAAACAUGAUCAGGACAAGAAGCCAAGAUUUCUCAGUUCCACCAGGAUUUAGAAGUAAUCUCUCCGAUAAAAUUGUUUGCAUUGCAGCAGCACGUCCAGCGCUCCAGCCCUCCAAACAUGGGCACAGAAACUCCUCCACCUUCUCCAAACCUCACAGCCUGAGGCAGCACGGCAGUGACAAGGGAAUGACGUCCCAAAGCCCUGGUGUGGCCACAGCAGGACGGAGAACUGAGCCCAAACCUCCUGAGUCACCCAUUAAAAAAGCAGCUGCAGCCCUCAGUGAAGCCACUUGUGCCCUGGAGACGGGGAGAACAACAAUCCUGCGGGGCAGGACCAAAGAUUUCCCAAAUCUUCCCACCUUCCUGGUUAUCUGCAGCACAAGCUCUACCUGCUCAGGCUGAAAUUCUGGUAUUUCAGAUCACUGGGUAUUUGAUUUUGCAAUUUUAAUUAUCACCUCUUUACCCCAGUGGCGUUUCUGUGCAAUGAUCACUCCGAGACACUCUCCAGGCUCCUGCCAGGUAACGAUAAGAGCCAUUUAGAGCCAAAAGUUUAGGCACAACACCAAACAGAUAACAGAGGACUGGAGCCAUCCCUCUGCCCCACAGCCCAGCCCAGGACAAGGGCUGUGCAAACCCACCCAGGCUCUGCACAGCAACUCUCUGAGCACCAACACUGCCGAGAUUUUCCCCUUUUAAAUCCUUCACUUCUGUCCCAGCCACAAAUCCCAGAAUUUCUAGGUGAUCUGCAUCAUUUCCCCAGCUAAUCCCUGCAGCAAGAUGGGCAACAGGAUGGAAAUGGAGCCAUGAAUGGAGUAAGGAGGCAUUGCCAUGGAAGGGGUUAACACACUUUCCUAGACCCAUCCUAAUGAGCUGCACAAGAGCUUUCUGUGAUUCAGGUUUCCUUUACUGAUUUACCACUUACCCUGGAUAAGCAAAUGAGCAAUUAGCAGAGCUGCAUCUGUGAUGUCAUUUAAAUUCAAAUGAUACCCUGGCUGCUCAUUAAUAGCAGGAUGUGCAGCUCCAGAGGAUAAACCCAAAUCCUCUCUUAGCAGAAGGUAGAAAUCCCCUUCUCCCAGGAGGAUGGGGGGAUCUGCCCAGGAACAUCGGGCUGGU